RNAcentral lists this long non-coding RNA (1064 nucleotides) under Homo sapiens (human). RNAcentral describes it as "long intergenic non-protein coding RNA 2693". The record is from RNAcentral. Lineage: Eukaryota; Metazoa; Chordata; Mammalia; Primates; Hominidae.
GUUUCUCAGCGGCCUAGAUGCCUCUUGGUCUGGCUGAAUAUCUUCUAUGAAGAUCACUUCCCCGUCCAUCAGGGAGACAAUUCCUGGAGAUUCGUGUCAUGACUGUUUCUCUCUCCAAACCUGUUUCUGCUGGAUUGCGCAGGUCUGAUGACCCUGGAGCUCUUGGCUUCCAUACGUGUCUCAGACAGGACAAGUGCAUUUCCUCUGCACUUCCUGUCUCAUUCUUGAGAAACAUCCUCCCCUCUGCUCGUGGGUGGACUGACUCCUUGAAUCUUUUGGCUGUAAGGAACGUCAGGGAUCCAAUGGUACUGGGCUGGGGCUGGAGCUGGAUGCAGGGGAGGUUCCGUCAGAGCUACCUGGGCAUUGGAGGAUUGGGGGUGGAUUGAACUUUGCAGAAACUUCUUUACUCCUCCAGCAGGCUUUUCAAAAUGUGGCUUGGACUCAUGCAAUAAGAAAUUUAGGAGUUGAAAGGGCCCCUUUUUCAUUGGCACUCUGGUUAACAUUGCUUCAGCACAAUCAUAUGAUAGAGAAGCCUUAUCAAAUUUGCUGUCCCUCAGGGCUCUUAAAGAUGCUUGAUAAAUGAUUAGGGAAAUAAGAAAAAAAUUGAAAGGAAAAGGAAGUCCAAGGACCUGCCCCAGAAGAAUCACAGAUAUGUUUGAAUACUUAGUCGUUAUUUGCCCCAGAUAGAAAAUGUUUUUUAAUCAAAAGGCAAAAGUUAUAAUGAGGAAGAUAAUAUUGCCUGGGGCAAUGUUGAGACAAAUAAGAUGAAGAUCAACCAAAUGCCCUGAGUCCUUUGGCCCAAAUCCCUGCUGGGGACCCAAAUACUUUUGAUAUAGCAUCUUGCUACCUGAGGAAUGCAAGGAGAAUAAUACUCAUAAGCAAAGAGCCUCUGUUUUCCCAUAGGACUGACUCUAACUAUGUGAAGAACUGCUACAUAUUCUACAGUGCUUGAUAGGCGGUUCCCAUCUAACAGGAGCUGUUUGGCUUGUGGAUAGCAGUUCCAAGAUAAACAAAUGACAUUGUGUUUGAAAGCCACUGCUCUUAUUAAAGAAGAGUCAAGCAAA